AUUGAACGCUGGCGGCAGGCCUAACACAUGCAAGUCGAGCGGAUGAAGGGAGCUUGCUCCUGGAUUCAGCGGCGGACGGGUGAGUAAUGCCUAGGAAUCUGCCUGGUAUUGGGGGAUAACGUCCGGAAACGGGCGCUAAUACCGCAUACGACCUGAGGGAGAAAGUGGGGGAUCUUCGGACCUCACGCUAUCAGAUGAGCCUAGGUCGGAUUAGCUAGUUGGUGGGGUAAAGGCCUACCAAGGCGACGAUCCGUAACUGGUCUGAGAGGAUGAUCAGUCACACUGGAACUGAGACACGGUCCAGACUCCUACGGGAGGCAGCAGUGGGGAAUAUUGAACAAUGGGCGAAAGCCUGAUCCAGCCAUGCCGCGUGUGUGAAGAAGGUCUUCGGAUUGUAAAGCACUUUAAGUUGGGAGGAAGGGCAGUAAGUUAAUACCUUGCUGUUUUGACGUUACCAACAGAAUAAGCACCGGCUAACUUCGUG
This 484-nucleotide ribosomal RNA is filed under the name uncultured bacterium. Its description in RNAcentral is "partial 16S ribosomal RNA". It matches the Rfam family "Bacterial small subunit ribosomal RNA", at positions 30 to 507 of the family's 1533-position model. The record is from RNAcentral.